Molecule: RNA transcript, 4038 nt
Organism: Apis mellifera (honey bee)
Lineage: Eukaryota; Metazoa; Arthropoda; Insecta; Hymenoptera; Apidae
Exons: 13
Source: RefSeq, a predicted model, not a curated record
UUUUAAUAGCCCGCCCACGUCAGUUUCCAUCAACGUCGCAUAAGUGUUACUGCGUAGUAAAUUUUUUCGUUCUUUUUGUUCUUUUUUUUUCAAGUUUGUAUCUAAUUUUGAGUAGUGUUUCGUGAAAAUAUUGUUGUACAGUGAAAAUGGAAGAUGAAAUCAGUUGUGACGAUCCACAAUUUAUGACAAUGUUGGAAACCUGUCUACUCAUGGAGAUCGAGACAUGCAAGAAUACGUUUUCUGAACUUGUAAGGCAGAUAAAAGACUUUAAAAUUAAAGUGAAGAUGCAAUUGCAAACGAGGAAAGAAUUGAAAGAAAACACAAAGAAUACCCAAGAAAAUAUUCUAAUUUUAAGUAACUCUCUGAGCAAGUAUGUAGGAAAUAAUGACUUUUACGGAAAUAUAUCAAUCACAUUAUACAAUUUCAUCAUAUUUGAAAAUAUCUUUAACAGAGAAAGGAAUUAUAUGAUUGAAAUUUCAAAUAAAAUCGAGUUAAUGAAGCUUAAUUUGGACAACGAUUAUAAAAUUAUGAAAGUGAAUUGUGAAUUUUAUGAAAAUAUAUACAACGACUACGAAAAAGUGUGGGAAUCGUAUCACGCAAAAUAUGAAGAGUUCCCCUUGGCCAAGGACAGAAGAGAGGCGAAAAUAAAAAUGGAAAAGGUUCAAAUCGACCAGAUGGUCCUGGAAUACAAAGUUAAAGAAUUCGAGAAGAUUUUGAAGCAAAAGCAACGGAUCGCUUGGCUCAGAAUGCGCGCAAAAAUCGUUCUACUUGCGCGUGCAGUUUUAAAUUAUACUAAAUUAGUCGAAACGUUGAAAGAUCUUGAUAGAAAUAUCGAGAAACGCAAGGAGGAGUUGAACACGAUCGAAACGGAGGUAGCCAUGCGAUUGAAGAAACAAGAGGAAGAGAAGAGGGAUCGAGCGUUGAAACUGCUGGAAAUGCCACCGCCAAAGAUUAAUUUCUCCCACAUGCGCACGAUUUACGGUCCUAGGCCGGGAAUCGGCUUCCCAGACGGUUGGAAAAGAAAUUAUGAGAAUUCCAUAGAUACUUUAUCGGUGGACACCCUGAUGUUGGAAGAAAUGUGUUUAACUGAAGAAAAUUCCAUGCAACCACCAUCCAAUAUUGAAGCCCAAAAAGAUCAGAAUCUUUCUUAUGAGGAGCCGGUCGAUUCAAGAAAUUCUCCACUGGACCAAGAAGCGGAGAACGAAGAUGCGGCCAGCGAAAUGGAUGGAAAUAUAGGGUCAGAGCCGAUCGAUGAUGCAGUCGAGGGGGAAAUGGAAGAACAACGAAUGGGCCAGGAACUGGAGCACGUAGACCAGUCGUCUGGUCUUUCCAAAGAUAAGCAAACGGACCAAUGUUGCAAAGAUCUUGAAAAGGAUGAACCGGUGGCAAAGAAAAUGAAGUUGAUUUCUCACAGCGCAGGGAAACUCGUGGCAUCGCCGAUGAAGGGUAUUCCAUUAGAGAGGACGAAGAGCUGUUCGGUCGAACCACCUCCACGUCCAAGAAUCUCGAGAAUCGAGACGUUUCAUUACACUGUGCCGAUUAAAAAAAUUGAAAAAUUCCCAAGAGAAAUUCAAAUUCCAUUGGUGAAUCAAUCUCCUGGAUCAAUGAUAACGAAGGAGUCUUCUGUACGGAACCAGAAUAAUCCUAAUCCUUCCAGUAUGUUCACUCCUGGUCACUAUGAUUAUUCUGAUAACAGUGAAAUAAGUUUCUGUAUCGAUGAGAACAUGGCCGAAUUGAAAGCUGAUCAAAUAUCGCUGUACGGUGGAUCUGUUCGAAAUUUUUGCGAGUGUCCCAAUUUAUCACCUAUCAAUGAAAAUAUAAAUCUGGAGGGGAACGAAAACGUUCCAUCGACUAGCAACACUCGUAAUUUUUCACAAUUUGAGAAAAAAUUCGACUUCAGUAAUAUUCUGAAAGGCAGUUCCAGCGGAAGAAAUCUCUUCUAAAUCUGAAUCUUGAUCGAAGAGGAUCGAUAAUUAUUUAAGAAACGUGUACUUCUUGUAAAAAAAUCUCAUUUCGAUGAAAUAAAAUCGCGUGAAGCGAAGAACGAAUGAGAUAAUUUCUCUCUUGGAAUGGUAUAAUAAGACUGGUUCAUUUUUCGUCCAGAGUGAAUAAUAUUCGAGCGAAAUUACGCAUAGCCGUAAUUCUCACUCUCGACAGUCGGUGGAAAGCGUUGGUGGUAGCUCGGUUCCAUCCUAAGAAGCCGGGAAAAGGAAACGUGAAAGACGUAGACGGGGGUAGAAAAGAGGCACACGCCAGGCUGGAGAGAGAGAAAGGAAGAGCACUCGGCUCGACGACUGGAAAAGUCGAGCCUGUUUUUCUUUCCGGUUCGAAGUUCCAGCAACUACGUGACUGGAAUCUGGCCUUGCCAUUGACACGUCAUUCUUUCCCAGUCGCUGGAACCGGAAGUUCUCUAGCCUGGAUUACUCGCGAGACCCCUCUAACAGCUUCAUCGAAUCCACCGAGUGCACAUCGACUUCACUGUUUUACCAGCAGUCCGUGUUCCUUUUUUUCCCUUCUUCAUCAUCGAUGGACGUAAAAAGAGUGCGGAAUAACGUCUGAAUCAGUAUACAACAUUCUAUAAUCUGGAUACGACCAUUUUCUUUCGUAUCUCGUUACGAACUCUCGAUUGGCCAGUUGGAGAGGAAUAGGAGAGUUUGCGGAGAAAGGAGAAGGCGCGAGGAAAAAUAUUUACCUGUUUGUUCGAUGUAGAAGGAAGGAAAACAAACGGAGAAAUUAACGACACGACUUUUCGUCCAAUCUUUUCAUCGAUUUACUUUUUAAAAUUAGUAGUUGGGAUGGAUAGCGAUGAUGGAAGAAACGUCUCACUUCUUUUUCGCCAGAUAUCGAAGAAACAAUGGAACAUGAAUGAAGAAGGCAACGAGAUUACACGUUAACCUAGUUUCCAGUAAAACUGGGCCACAGGCCAUCUUCUAUAUCGUGUACAGUCAAUCGUAAAAGAUUUGAAGGAAAUUCAGCUAGCUUGAGAAAAUCUAUACGAUAUACGUAUAUCGAGAUAUGCAUGGCUGAUUCGUGAAAUCAAUCUUUGAAUUUUAUCAUACCAUCUCAACUCAGGAACGAAGGUGACUACGAAGACUACUACCAGUGUAAAAAGGAACAACCACGUACGAUAAAAUCUUGACUCGAAAAGUUAGGUUAGAUUAGAAGCGUAUCUUGCAAUAUGGAAAGUUUAAACAUGACUGGCGCUUUAGAAAUUAUCAAUCGUACGUAUGGAAGUAUCAUCACCGCGUGGUUAGAAUUGGUCGACGGAUGAAAAGCCACGAAUAAUUAAACUCCAAUUAACGUAGCACGCCCCAACGAGGCGAAACGAAACGAGAGAAAUGAAAUACCUUCGCAUUCGUUUCACGUUUCAACGGGAGCCCACGGUUCAACUUACAGUUGCACCCUUUCCCCAACCCUUGCCCUGGUGCACACGAUACUAAACGCCGUUCUAUCGAUCUCGCCAUGUUUCCCAUUACCGCAAAACCGCCGCCAGCAUAAAGCAACCGCGUUUCCUCUUAUUGUCUCCACGCGACCGCCCGACAACCGCCAUGGAAAACACCCUACGCGAUUAUAAAUGCGACACUGGCUGCCUUAAUAUUCGCACGUGUUACGGAUUAAACGAAGUGAAGGGGAAUUCACGACUCUUGGCAGGAGUGCUGGAGAAAACGAGAUAUUUUUGCGAGGAUGUCUUGAAGGAUAUUACUGUGAAAAGUAGAUAGAACGAUGAAGGGAUGUUAACUGCUAACAAUUUCGAAGAAAUGUUUUUUUUGACGAGAAACGUGUACUGUAUGUAGAGAGAUUUGAAGGCGUAGAAUAAAUGAAGACGUUGAUGGAAGGUAAUUUACGCGUCUGGAAAUUCUAUGGGAUGCCACGUCCUCGUUGAAAAUCGUUGCUAGAUUACGGAAUUAAUCUAGCAUUCAUUGACAAACAAAUUACCAACUAUUAUUAUCAACCAUACUGCUCCAUAUUGUAUUAAAAUCAACAUUUACUUGACGGAUUUCCAAUUUAUAAUUCUAUUACCAGAAAAUUAUAAAUUUA